This 1408-nucleotide ribosomal RNA is filed under the name metagenome. RNAcentral's name for it is "bacterial SSU rRNA". It matches the Rfam family "Bacterial small subunit ribosomal RNA". The record is from RNAcentral.
GUGGCGAACGGGUGAGUAAUGUAUCGGAACGUACCUUUCAGUGGGGGAUAACGUAGCGAAAGUUACGCUAAUACCGCAUAUUCUGUGAGCAGGAAAGCAGGGGAUCGCAAGACCUUGCGCUGAUUGAGCGGCCGAUAUCAGAUUAGCUAGUUGGUGAGGUAAAGGCUCACCAAGGCGACGAUCUGUAGCGGGUCUGAGAGGAUGAUCCGCCACACUGGAACUGAGACACGGUCCAGACUCCUACGGGAGGCAGCAGUGGGGAAUUUUGGACAAUGGGGGCAACCCUGAUCCAGCCAUGCCGCGUGAGUGAAGAAGGCCUUCGGGUUGUAAAGCUCUUUCGGCCGGGAAGAAAUCGCAUGGGUUAAUACCCUGUGCGGAUGACGGUACCGGCAUAAGAAGCACCGGCUAACUACGUGCCAGCAGCCGCGGUAAUACGUAGGGUGCGAGCGUUAAUCGGAAUUACUGGGCGUAAAGCGUGCGCAGGCGGUUUUGUAAGACAGGCGUGAAAUCCCCGGGCUCAACCUGGGAACUGCGCUUGUGACUGCAAGGCUAGAGUAUGGCAGAGGGGGGUGGAAUUCCACGUGUAGCAGUGAAAUGCGUAGAGAUGUGGAGGAACACCAAUGGCGAAGGCAGCCCCCUGGGCCAAUACUGACGCUCAUGCACGAAAGCGUGGGUAGCAAACAGGAUUAGAUACCCUGGUAGUCCACGCCCUAAACGAUGUCAACUAGGUGUUGGGUGGGUAAAACCAUUUAGUACCGGAGCUAACGCGUGAAGUUGACCGCCUGGGGAGUACGGCCGCAAGGUUAAAACUCAAAGGAAUUGACGGGGACCCGCACAAGCGGUGGAUGAUGUGGAUUAAUUCGAUGCAACGCGAAAAACCUUACCUACCCUUGACAUGUCCAGGAGCCUGAAGAGAUUUGGGUGUGCCCGAAAGGGAACUGGAACACAGGUGCUGCAUGGCUGUCGUCAGCUCGUGUCGUGAGAUGUUGGGUUAAGUCCCGCAACGAGCGCAACCCUUGUCGUUAAUUGCCAUCAUUUAGUUGGGCACUUUAACGAGACUGCCGGUGACAAACCGGAGGAAGGUGGAGAUGACGUCAAGUCCUCAUGGCCCUUAUGGGUAGGGCUUCACACGUCAUACAAUGGUCGGUACAAAGGGUUGCCAACCCGCGAGGGGGAGCCAAUCCCAGAAAGCCGAUCGUAGUCCGGAUUGCAGGCUGCAACUCGCCUGCAUGAAGUCGGAAUCGCUAGUAAUCGUGGAUCAGCAUGUCACGGUGAAUACGUUCCCGGGUCUUGUACACACCGCCCGUCACACCAUGGGAGCGGGUUCCGCCAGAAGUAGGUAGCCUAACCGCAAGGGGGGCGUUUACCACGGCGGGGUUCGUGACUGGGGUGAAGUCGAAACAAGGUA